This 253-nucleotide ribosomal RNA is filed under the name uncultured bacterium. RNAcentral's name for it is "partial 16S ribosomal RNA". It matches the Rfam family "Bacterial small subunit ribosomal RNA", at positions 524 to 776 of the family's 1533-position model. The record is from RNAcentral.
UACAGAGGUCUCAAGCGUUGUUCGGAUUCAUUGGGCGUAAAGGGUGCGUAGGUGGCGGGGUAAGUCUGGUGUGAAAUCUCGGAGCUCAACUCCGAAACUGCACUGGAUACUGCCUUGCUUGAGUACUGGAGAGGAGAUUGGAAUUUACGGUGUAGCAGUGAAAUGCGUAGAUAUCGUAAGGAAGACCAGUGGCGAAGGCGGGUCUCUGGACAGUUCCUGACACUGAGGCACGAAGGCCAGGGGAGCAAACGGG